GCAUCGGUGGAUCAGUGGUAGAAUGCUCGCCUGCCACGCGGGCGGCCCAGGUUCGAUUCCCGGCCGAUGCA
This 71-nucleotide transfer RNA is filed under the name Cordylochernes scorpioides. RNAcentral's name for it is "tRNA-Gly". It matches the Rfam family "tRNA". Rfam says of the family: Transfer RNA (tRNA) molecules are approximately 80 nucleotides in length. Their secondary structure includes four short double-helical elements and three loops (D, anti-codon, and T loops). Lineage: Eukaryota; Metazoa; Arthropoda; Arachnida; Pseudoscorpiones; Chernetidae. The record is from RNAcentral.